CGUAGGGACCAAGCGUUGUCCGGAUUCAUUGGGCGUAAAGAGCUCGUAGGCGGUUCAGUAAGUCGGGUGUGAAACCUCCAGGCUCAACCUGGAGACGCCACCCGAUACUGCUGUGACUAGAGUCCAGUAGGGGAGCGUGGAAUUCCUGGUGUAGCGGUGAAAUGCGCAGAUAUCAGGAGGAACACCAGCGGCGAAGGCGGCGCUCUGGGCUGGAACUGACGCUGAGGAGCGAAAGCGUGGGGAGCGAACAGGAUUAGAUACCCUGGUAGUCCACGCCGUAAACGUUGGGUACUAGGUGUGGGGUCUUAUCAACGGAUUCCGUGCCGAAGCUAACGCAUUAAGUACCCCGCCUGGGGAGUACGGCCGCAAGGCUA
Molecule: ribosomal RNA, 374 nt
Filed under: uncultured organism
Description: bacterial SSU rRNA
Rfam family: Bacterial small subunit ribosomal RNA
Source: RNAcentral